Schistosoma mattheei is the source of this 45-nucleotide non-coding RNA. The record is from Rfam. NCBI's taxonomy places the organism in Eukaryota, Metazoa, Platyhelminthes, Trematoda, Strigeidida, Schistosomatidae.
AUCCAGCCAAAGAGUCCGAAACAGGACGAAACACGCAUCCUGGAU